AGUGAACGCUGGCGGUAGGCCUAACACAUGCAAGUCGAACGGCAGCACAGUAAGAGCCUGCUCUUACGGGUGGCGAGUGGCGGACGGGUGAGGAAUACAUCGGAAUCUACUUUUUCGUGGGGGAUAACGGAGGGAACCUUACGCUAAUACCGCAUACGACCUACGGUUGAAAUCAGGGGAUCUUCGGACCUUUCGCGAUUGAAUGAGCCGAUGUCGGAUUAGCUAGUUGGCGGGGUAAAGGCCCACCAAGGCGACGAUCCGUAGCUGGUCUGAGAGGAUGAUCAGCCACACUGGAACUGAGACACGGUCCAGACUCCUACGGGAGGCAGCAGUGGGGAAUAUUGGACAAUGGGCGCAAGCCUGAUCCAGCCAUACCGCGUGGGUGAAGAAGGCCUUCGGGUUGUAAAGCCCUUUUGUUGGGAAAGAAAAGCAGCAGGUUAAUACCCCGCUGUUCUGACGGUACCCAAAGAAUAAGCACCGGCUAACUUCGUG
This 492-nucleotide ribosomal RNA is filed under the name uncultured bacterium. RNAcentral describes it as "partial 16S ribosomal RNA". It matches the Rfam family "Bacterial small subunit ribosomal RNA", at positions 29 to 507 of the family's 1533-position model. The record is from RNAcentral.